GGAUCAUAAAGUUUGAUUGCACCAUGUGGAAAUACUUGAUUUACAAUAUAAGGUCCAUCCCAUCUAGAUCUUAAUUUUCUUGAAAAUAAUGUUAGCCUUGAAUUAAAUAACUAGACUUGUUGAUUUGGCUCAAAGAUUUUCCUCAAAAUAUGUUUGUCAUGAAAGGCUUUCAUUUGUUCUUUAUAAAUUCAUGAAUUUUCAUAAGCCUCUUGUCUCAAUUCAUCCAAUUCACUC
RNAcentral lists this long non-coding RNA (234 nucleotides) under Elaeis guineensis (African oil palm). Its description in RNAcentral is "long non-coding RNA (EGUI_LNC081688)". Lineage: Eukaryota; Viridiplantae; Streptophyta; Magnoliopsida; Arecales; Arecaceae. The record is from RNAcentral.